UGCCGGCAGAUUGUCUCUGGGUCCCGAGACAAGACCAUAAAGUUAUGGAAUACUCUGGGUGUCUGCAAGUACACUGUUCAGGACGAGAGUCAUUCAGAAUGGGUGUCUUGUGUUCGCUUCUCCCCGAACAGCAGCAACCCAAUCAUUGUCUCCUGUGGAUGGGACAAGCUGGUUAAGGUGUGGAAUCUGGCUAACUGCAAACUAAAGACCAACCACAUUGGCCACACUGGCUAUCUGAACACAGUGACCGUCUCUCCAGAUGGAUCUCUCUGUGCUUCUGGAGGCAAGGAUGGCCAGGCUAUGCUGUGGGAUCUCAAUGAAGGCAAGCACCUUUACACAUUAGAUGGUGGUGACAUCAUCAAUGCCUUGUGCUUCAGCCCCAACCGCUACUGGCUUUGCGCUGCCACUGGCCCCAGUAUCAAGAUCUGGGACUUGGAGGGCAAGAUCACUGUAGAUGAAUUGAAGCAAGAAGUUAUCAGCACCAGCAGCAAGGCAGAGCCGCCCCAGUGCACCUCUCUGGCAUGGUCCGCAGAUGGCCAGACUCUGUUUGCUGGCUAUACAGACAACUUGGUGCGAGUAUGGCAGGUGACUAUUGGUACCCGCUAAAAGUUUAUGACCGAGUCUUAAAAAUAAACUGGCUUUCUGAAAAAAAAAAA
Grammomys surdaster is the source of this 656-nucleotide RNA transcript. It is a transcript of the gene named receptor of activated protein C kinase 1 pseudogene, with no coding region annotated. Lineage: Eukaryota; Metazoa; Chordata; Mammalia; Rodentia; Muridae. The record is from RefSeq and is a predicted model, not a curated record. The transcript has a single exon.